GGUACAAAAGGUUUGGACAAAGCAUGGAUGAAGUUGUCUCUGGGAAAGGAGGUAGAGUUAGUACUGUCGGAACUGACGUUGAGGUUCAAUCAAGCACGAAAAAGAACAGAACGAAGAGAUCGAAGAGCUAACUGUUGGAAUGUAAUUUCAAGAGAUUGGAGGUUGUUUGGCUGAGCACGGAGUUUAAGCUACUAACUUGGCAGUUUCCUCGUCUCUCUAUAGGUUUUUUGGUGAUAAAAACUUGAAUUGCGUGUAUUUAUACAAAUCCCAAAUGGUUAUUUGUGUUAGCAAUUGUAAUCAAGAUGAACUAUGUUGUUUUAUUUCCAACUAUACUAUUUAGUUUGUUACUGGUCAAGACUU
This 360-nucleotide unclassified non-coding RNA is filed under the name Hevea brasiliensis (rubber tree). Lineage: Eukaryota; Viridiplantae; Streptophyta; Magnoliopsida; Malpighiales; Euphorbiaceae. The record is from RNAcentral.